This 513-nucleotide ribosomal RNA is filed under the name uncultured bacterium. Its description in RNAcentral is "partial 16S ribosomal RNA". It matches the Rfam family "Bacterial small subunit ribosomal RNA", at positions 28 to 523 of the family's 1533-position model. The record is from RNAcentral.
GAUGAACGCUGGCGGCGUGCCUAAUACAUGCAAGUCGAACGCGCAGCGAAAGGUGCUUGCACCUUUCAAGCGAGUGGCGAACGGGUGAGUAACACGUGGAUAACCUGCCUCAAGGCUGGGGAUAACAUUUGGAAACAGAUGCUAAUACCGAAUAAAACUUAGUAUCGCAUGAUACAAAGUUAAAAGGCGCUACGGCGUCACCUAGAGAUGGAUCCGCGGUGCAUUAGUUAGUUGGUGGGGUAAAGGCUUACCAAGACGAUGAUGCAUAGCCGGGUUGAGAGACUGAUCAGGCACAUUGGGACUGAGACACGGCCCAAACUCCUACGGGAGGCUGCAGUAGGGAAUCUUCCACAAGGGGCGCAAGCCUGAUGGAGCAACGCCGCGUGUGUGAUGAAGGCUUUCGGGUCGUAAAGCACUGUUGUAUGGGAAGAAAUGCUAAAAUAGGGAAUGAUUUUAGUUUGACGGUACCAUACCAGAAAGGGACGGCUAAAUACGUGCCAGCAGCCGCCGCGG